RNAcentral lists this unclassified non-coding RNA (5532 nucleotides) under Leishmania donovani. RNAcentral describes it as "gene:LdHU3.34.0550(CDS-product:DNA-directed_RNA_p olymerase_III_subunit_C1_putative)". Lineage: Eukaryota; Euglenozoa; Kinetoplastea; Trypanosomatida; Trypanosomatidae. The record is from RNAcentral.
GCCUUGUCGCCGUCUCCACCCCUCACUGAGCGCGUUACCGCCGUUACAGCCUUGCCGCUCUCCCGUAAGGCACCGUUGCGCACAUGUGCGGGUCCGUGCGCAGGUUUUACGCGUCGCUGCAAGUAAACAACGAAUCAUUAAACCGAGAAGAAACGUCCGUUUGGCGACUCGCGAAAGUCGGCGGGAAACCAGAUCAGCAGUCGGUAGGACAAUCGGAAAAGGGAGGGUGGGACCCCCAGUCGCUUUCCUGCUCUCUUCAAUCUGUGUGCCUGUCUGUCUGCUCCUCCCUCUACUCGUUAGACGGCCGUGCUGACGGUGCGCCAUCGUGUGUAGCCCGCCUCGUUGCUCGCCACUCGCCUCCAGCUUCUUUGUCUCCUUGAGGGCGCGUACCGUUCCGUUUCACGUCCAUCUCCUCGUGACUAACCACCCCCUCCUUCCUAGCUCAGCGGCCCUCACGUAAAAGGUGAAGCGCGUACGCAUACGCACACGACGGCACACGCAAUGUCUCAGACUGCCACCACGGCUGCGCAGUUUGUGCAGCCGCUGCUUGAUAAGCCGGUGGAGGUGACCUCGAUCAAGUACAGUCUCCUCUCUGAAGACACGAUCCACCGCCUCUCGGUCCUGCCCUGCCACCGCGUGAUCGGGACCGAAAAGAACUUCGGCGUCAACGAUGGCCGCCUUGGCCCGAGUGACCGCUUAUCGGUGUGCAACACCUGCGGUCAGCGCAGCAUCGAGUGCACUGGCCACGCCGGCCACAUCGACCUCGAGGUGCCCGUCUUCCACCUCGGCUACUUCUCUGCAGUCAUUCGAGUAUGCCGCACAAUCUGCAAGCGCUGCUCCAACGUGCUCCUCACGCGAGAGGAAAUGGAGUACUACCUGCACCGGCUGAGGUCCACGACACACGAGCCGCAGCAGCGCGCCGCCAUCAUCAAGGGCAUCCAGGAGGACGCCUACAAGACGCGCGUGUGCCUCAUGUGCGGUGGGCUGAACGGCACGGUGCGGCGGGUGCGGCCAAUGCGCAUCGUCCAUGAAAAGUACCUCGUCGAUUUGCGCCGCGGCGAGCAGGCGAAUGAGGACCCGACGGCGUUUUUCCAGGAGGAGCUGCGGUCUGCUGCGAUGCACAACUCGGAGGUGGGCGCGCACAAGGAGUUCGUACACGAGUUCCUGCACCCGCAGCGUGUGAAGGAGCUUUUUGAAGCGAUUCCGCGGGAGCAGGUGCCGUUGCUAGGCCUGCAACCUGGCACCAGUCCAUGCAGCCUUCUCAUCAGCACCUUGCUCGUCCCACCCGUGUGCGUGCGGCCGCGCGGCAUGUCGACGACGAACCACAUCCGCGAGGAUGACUUGACGACGCAGUACAACGAGAUUCUAAUCUGCUCUGACAUGAUGAGCGACGGCACAAACGACGCCGCGCGCAGCGUCGAGACGUGGGAGCUGCUGCAGACGCGUGUGGCGCGGCUGCUGGAUGCGGCGCUGCCGGGGUUUCCUUCGCACCUGCGCACCGUCGAGUGCAAGUCCUACGCGCAGCGCAUGAAAGGCAAGCAGGGCCGUUUCCGGGGCAACCUUAGCGGCAAACGCGUCGACUUCUCUGGACGGUCUGUCAUUUCACCCGACCCAAACCUUCGCAUCGACGAGCUUGCCGUGCCGCUGCGCGUCGCGCGUGUGCUGACGUACCCGCAGCGCGUCUUUGCUGGCAACAUCCAGCUCAUGCGCCGGCUCGUGCGCAACGGCCCGCACGUGCACCCGGGCGCCCUCACCGUUUACCUCUCGAAGGAGUGCUCGCGCAAGUCGCUGCGCAACGCCCGCGACCGUGAGGCCAUCGCCGCGCGCCUCAGCAUAGGCGACGUCGUGGAGCGGCACGUGAUGAACGGCGACUACAUCCUCUUCAACCGCCAGCCGUCGCUCCACCGCAUCUCGCUCAUGGCGCACCGCGCGCGCGUGCUGCCCUUCCGCACAUUCCGGUUCAAUGAGUGUUGCUGCGCGCCGUACAACGCCGACUUCGACGGAGACGAGAUGAACAUUCACGUUGUGCAGACGGAGGAGGCCCGCGCAGAGGCGAAGGAGCUGAUGCUGACGUCGCACAACAUCAUCACUGCCAAGAACGGUGAGCCCAUCAUCGCGUGCACGCAGGACUUUCUGACCGCCGCCUACCUGGUGACCGCCCGUGACGCUCUUUUCGACCGUGCUUCCUUCACGCAGAUGGUGUCCCACUGGCUUGGCAACGAGACCCAGUACACGCUGCCGAUUCCAGCCAUCCUGAAGCCGGCGGAGCUGUGGACCGGCAAGCAGCUCUUCGAGCUCAUCCUUCGGCCAACGCCAGAGACGCAGCUGCUGCUGAACUUGGAAGCGAAGGCUCGCUUUUACUCUGGUGCUGGCCGGCACGACGAUCCGGCGGAGGGGUAUGUGGCGUUCCUCGACUCCGUCUUUCUCUCCGGCCGACUCGACAAGAAGCUGCUGGGUGGCGGCGCCAAGGACGGGCUCUUUGCCCGCCUCUACGCUCUGGGCGGAGGGGAGCAGACGGCGACGUGCAUGUCGCGCAUCGCGCAGUUCACCGCCCGCUACCUUCAGAACUACGGCUUCUCCCUUGGUCUCGGUGAUGUGUCGCCAACGCCGUCGCUCAACGAGAAGAAGGCCGCCGUGCUGGCUGUGUCGUUCGACAAGUGCGAUCGUCUCAUCUCUCUCGCCAAGACGGGCCGGCUCAUCCCCAAGCCUGGGAUGAGCGUGAAGCAGAGCCUGGAGGCGAUGCUGAACGCGGAGCUGUCGCAGGUGCGUGACGCGUGUGGCUCGGCCGCCGUGCAAGCGCUGGAUGCCAAGUCGAACGCACCUCUUAUCAUGGUGAAUUCUGGGAGCAAAGGCAGCGCCCUCAACACUGCACAGAUGAUGGCGUGCGUGGGGCAGCAGACGGUCAGCGGCAAACGCAUCAUGAACGCCUUCCAGGACCGCGCCCUGCCGCACUUCCCGCGUUUCGCCGAAGACCCCGCGUCGCGCGGCUUCGUGGCCAGCUCCUUCUACUCUGGCCUGUCGCCGACGGAGUUCUUCUUCCAUGGCAUGGCUGGUCGCGAGGGUAUUGUCGAUACAGCCGUCAAGACCGCAGAGACUGGCUACAUCUACCGCCGCCUCAGCAAGGCCAUGGAGAACCUGAGCGUUGGCUACGACGCCUCUGUGCGUAGCGUGCAGGGAAGCAUUGUUCAGCUGCGGUACGGCGAGGAUGGCAUGGACCCGUGGCUGAUGGAGGGGGCGCACGGCACGCCACUUAACCUCGAUCAGGAGUGGCUCAGCAACCGUGCCGCCUACGCCCGCUUUCGAAAGCACAUCGACAAUGUCUUGAGCGUGGGAGGGGGCAGUGGUGGGCUGGCCGCAUCAGCGGAUCCGCUCCUCCGAACGUACCGCAGGCUCUACGAUGAAUGGCACGCCGUGUCCAUGCUCCCUGGCGAGCUGGACACCUUCGUGCAUCACCUGCUGCACGCGGAUGAGGCGACGCUCGCCUCCUGCGCGCGCCUGAUGAAGGCGGAGGCGGCGAUACGCGGUGCGGCGCCGUCGUCUGCGGCCGCCGGUCUGCAGUUGUUACAGCAGCUCGCGCAGCAGCACGGCAGCGACCGCCUGCGCAGCGACAUUCAGGCGUUCUUCCGCAAGAAGCGCGACGAGCUGGUGCAGCUGCGGCAGAAACUGAAGCUACCCCUGGACGCCCAUGCCCCUGCGGCCGCUGAGCUUGCAGCGGCGAGCGCUAAGGCAGUUCGUGGCGGGGAAAAGCGCAAGCCAAGUCCACACAACGGCGUGCAGCCAUCCGUCAAAGCCGAUGCGUCGGCCAGCGCAGCUGCCGUGCAGGCGUUUGCAGAGUCGCUUCAGGCCGAGCUGCUGCCACUCACCAAAGGCAUGCUGCUUCACUUCCUCGAGGCUUCAGCGCGCAAGGUGCACCGCAAGCUGUGCGAGCCCGGCACGCCGUGCGGCGCCAUCGCCGCUCAGUCUGUGGGUGAGCCGAGCACACAGAUGACGCUCCGCACGUUCCACUUUGCAGGUGUGGCCAGCAUGAGUAUCACGCAGGGUGUGCCGCGCCUCGUGGAAAUCAUCAAUGCCAACAAGAGCAUCGCCACUCCGGUCAUCACGGCUCCCAUUGUGCUAGAGGACGAAUUCACGUCGAUAGACCUCGCGCCGGCGAGUCGUACGCAGUACCAAGCCGCGCGCGCGGUGAAGGGUCUGAUGGAACGGGUGCUGCUGAAGGAGAUCGCACGCGAAAUGGUUGAGGUUGUGACGCCGCGGGCGUAUUACAUUCACAUCUUCCUCAACAUGGAGCUCAUCGAGCGCCUCCUGCUGCCAAUCGAUGCGGCGGUGGUGUGCCAGCGGCUCUACGCGGCGGCCGCGCGGCCAAUGUCGCCGCUGCGCCAUCUCUCCGAGGCGUGCGUCGACGUGGUGAGCCGCGAUUCCCUCGUCGUCAAGUCCUAUGAGAAGGACCCCGCGCGGGUGCAUUUUAACGUUCAGCACCUGCUCACCCUCCUGCCCGAUCUCGUGGUCGGUGGCGUCCCAGGCGUCAACCGCGUCAUGAUUGCCGACCGCUCGGAGAAGCUGCUGGCGGAGGGAGCGGAGCUCUUGUCGGUCAUGUCGCUGCCGUACGUGGAUGGUGUGCGCACCACGUGCAACCACGUCGCCGUCAUAGAGCGCGCGCUCGGCAUCGAGGCCGCCCGCGAGACCAUCGUGAAGGAAAUUACGAGCAUCUUGCAAGCCUAUUCGCUCAACAUCGACAUUCGGCACAUCUACCUCCUGGCCGACGUGAUGACGAGUCGCGGCGUUGUUCUCGGCAUCACUCGAUACGGCAUCCAAAAGAUGAACAACAACGUCCUCACCAUGGCGUCCUUCGAGCGCACCACGGAGCACUUGUACAAUGCGGCGAUGACGGAGAGGGAGGACGUCAACCUCAGCGUCUCCGAAAGCAUCAUCAUUGGCAAGCCGAUCCCCCUCGGCACCAGCAGCUUCAACAUCCUGCUCGACAAGGGCAGCAUUGCGCCACCCGGCUCCAACACGGGCCGAAUGCCGUCGCCCCGGCGCAGCGCCCACGUAGCAGCCACAGCGGCGGCGGCCUUGAAGUCGUCCGGCAAGGCUGCGGUGGCCGGCAAGCACAGCAAGAAGGUGGAGCCGACGCCGAAGGAGGUGUUCCUGCGCAGCUCUUUCAUGGCGUACGCCGCCGCGCACGGGGCGGCGACGCAUCGAGGUCUGCGUGGCUGCUUUUCGAGUCGGUCCCUCUCCGCCGAGGGCGUCUUCCGGCUGGACCUCUUCGCGUUGUGAUAUCUCUAGAAAGCUUCGCUACUGCUUCAUCACCGCCGCCGUGCCUCCAAUUCACUGACCUCUCCCCUCCCCGCCCACACACACACACACAUAUAUAUGUGCGCCUGGUGACGCUGUGAACGUGAGCGUUCAACACCCGUCACCGCAUGACGCCUUUGUCGUUGUCUAAAUUUUGAAUUGAGCAAAAAGGUGAACGACGUUGCUUUCACUGAUGCCUGCGUGCACUCCUCUACGGCGGCACGUAUUUACGUCGACUCG